RNAcentral lists this ribosomal RNA (564 nucleotides) under Pristimantis museosus. RNAcentral's name for it is "partial 16S ribosomal RNA". It matches the Rfam family "Bacterial large subunit ribosomal RNA", at positions 1816 to 2594 of the family's 2925-position model. Lineage: Eukaryota; Metazoa; Chordata; Amphibia; Anura; Strabomantidae. The record is from RNAcentral.
CACCUCUUGCUUUUAAUCAUAAGAGGCCCAGCCUGCCCAGUGACCCUGUUCAACGGCCGCGGUAUCCUAACCGCGCGAAGGUAGCGUAAUCACUUGUUUUCUAAAUAAAGACUAGUAUGAAAGGCACCACGAGAUUUAAACUGUCUCCUUUCCCUAAUCAGUGAACCUAAUCUCCCCGUGAAGAAGCGGGGAUAACCUUAUAAGACGAGAAGACCCUGUGGAGCUUAAAACAAUUAAACACGUGCUUAUCCUACUCUUACACCAAGGCCAUCACCUCCUCAGCACGCUGAUUUUAUGUUUUCGGUUGGGGUGACCACGGAGAACAAAACACCCUCCGCGAUGAAAGGGACAUACUCCCUAAAUAACAAGCCACAACUUUAUCUAUCAAUAAAUUGACAUUCAUUGACCCAAUAUUUUGAUCAACGAACCAAGUUACCCCAGGGAUAACAGCGCAAUCCACUUUUAGAGCUCCUAUCAACAAGUGGGCUUACGACCUCGAUGUUGGAUCGGGAUAUCCCAGUGGUGCAGCCGCUACUAAAGGUUCGUUUGUUCAACGAUUGAAAU